AGCACCGUGGUGUACGGUACACCCGCCGCCCAGACUAAAGUGCCGCAAUACCUCAAUAUAACGGCGAGCCGGGGGUUCGACUCCCUGCCGGUGCAU
Molecule: non-coding RNA, 96 nt
Organism: Mycena leptocephala
Lineage: Eukaryota; Fungi; Basidiomycota; Agaricomycetes; Agaricales; Mycenaceae
Source: the annotation of a GenBank genome assembly